CGACCGCGCGUCCUCCUCCUCCUCCGGGAGCGCCUCGCGGCGCAGGAAGUCCUCCACGGCCUCGGCGACCGCGUGGCGGACCUCGGCGAGGCUGGCGUACGAGGCCGGGACCGCGAGCAGCCACGCGGAGUCGGCGAAGUUGAGGCACGCGCCCGCGCCGGCGAUGGCGAGCAUGGCGGCGUCGUGCGCCCGCGCGGCGCCCUCGGCGGUGUCGAACGUGCCGAGCCAGAGCCUGCAGCCGCGCCUCCCCGGCACGCGCACCUCGCACACCCACCGCCCGGCGUUGCCCCGGCGCCGGACGCCGCGGAACACGGGGUGCCGCGUCUCCCGGAACUUGGUCCGCCCCGCCGGCCGCUUCGGCGGCGACGUCCACACAGUCUGGUGGUGCUCCGACGAGGUCGAGGUCGAGGCCGAUGCCCAGCUGCACGGCGAGGUUGACUCGGCGCUCAUCUCCUUCUUGAUCGGACACAUCUUCUUCUUAUCAGCUCUCGGUUGCUUAGCUUGAAGAUCUUUGGUCGUUCUGACUGAGUUGGGUCUCGAGUGGGUUUGGGAUGCGAAUGGCGGAUUUGCGGGCGCAUAUUUAUAGGUGGUGGCUGGAUGGAGCACAGAGUGCAAAGCGCGGGAAGAAGGGAGCCAGUCCAGUGGACGAGCACACAGCUGGAGAAUGAAAGCAGAGGAAGGGGGGACGCAUCUGGGUAAGGCCGGGAAUGCAACUUGCAAGGCAACUGUGAGAGGCUUCGAGGGUGGCCUGAUAUUUUCUUUCUUUAUUAUUGGGGUAGUACCACCACUGGACUUCUUUGGCUUCCGCCUUCCGUGGUCGGUUUCAGUCUCUGCUUACCUGCAUCAGUGCAUCCUGAAUACCGCAGCUGUUUGUGGCCUUGGUUAAUGCCGUUGGUACAGAGAAAAUAAGAGGCUGUUGCAAUUUGCAAUUCUGCCAGUUCAGAUUUUGGGUACGGUGAGGAUGAAGCUUUGUCUUGGCUUUAGCCCAUUUUAACAGAUAAUUAACUGCAAAUAAUUAAAGUUGUCAAAUUUGUAGCUUAUCCAGUCAGAUUCUCUCGACAACAACAGAUUCCUAAAAAAUCCAGAUUCUCACACAAUCGAUUCCCAGUUAAGCUCAAAUAAACAUGAUGUUUUAUCUAUUCGCAGACGACCGAGCUUUUUAUCUAUUCACAGACGUCGGGAGGCCUAGAUGAUGGGGACGAAGAAUACUCUUGCUUAGCAUCUGCUCACUCGUGAUAUUUUUUUAAUCUCUGGGCGGUAAUUCUGCGUGUGAGCCAGCGAGAAGUGGAAGGCGCAAAGGGGACGGUAAAUCCGUGUUUCUUUAUCCCGAUAUUUGAACGAUCGAGUGAACUUUCGGGCCUUGUUUAGUUGGUCAAAUUGGAAGGUGCCAAAUUACUGUGCUGGCACUGUAGCACACUGUAGCGUUUCGUUUGUAUUUGUGAAUUAUUGUCCAAACAUUGACUAAUUAGGUUCAAAAGAUUCGUCUCGCAAAGUACAACAAAACUGUGCAAUUAGUUUUUAAUUUCAUCUACAUUUAGUACUUCAUGCAUGUACCGCAAGUUUGAUGUGAUGGGGAAUUUUCUUUUUGCAUAGUACCAAAGUUAGGAGUUGGGGGUGAAGUAAACAAGGGCUCGAUCCGAGAUGAUCUUCUAGUACUGGAUCAGUAGAUAUUUCUUGUCUGCUAAAGACAAGACUGUUUCCUCAACUCCGCACGGUACCAAUGUACCAUGGUACUAUUCGACUACUACUGUUUGCAAACCUUAUCUUAAAAAAAAAGCAAAAAAAGAAAAAUCUGCUAACAAGGGUAGAAUCUGUUGGUCUUUAGGCUAAUCCCAGUGGGGGUUUUAUAGAGGUUUCAUGCACAUUAAAUACAGUGACACAUCAGCAUAUGUGAUGACAUGGCAUGAUAGUUAUGAAGCGAGAGAAGGAAGGAGUUUCAUCAGGAUGAAACUGUGUAUACACUGUUUCCAAGCGUAUGAAACUUUCAUUGGGGGCUAUAGAGUUUGAUUUCAUCUAACCAUAUCCAAUCACAUGCCUCACAAUUAAAUGUCACGGUCAUCCUAUGAAAUCGUGAAAUAAAACUAUGUAUGGGACUCUCUGUUUCAUUCAUGAGAAUACAUCUCAUGGGAUGACGUGAUAUCCUUAUAAACAGUGCGAUGAAACUUUGGGACUAGCCUUACGAAUCAAGUGCAUUGAUACGGCAGAUCUACACAUACAAUUGGUGCUGCUGCUGAUUCCUUCGUCCAUGCUUUGGCGUGCUGCAUCAUUGCUGACACAGUACUCCUCAGUUUGACUGUCAACCGAGCAUGGUAGGAGUAGGACCGGGGGGUCUCUCGGUCUCUCGCUUCGCCUGAGGAAAACAAACUACUUUGACUAACCCCAUCGCUGCAAUUCAGCAACAAAAAUCAGCGGCUGCCGGCAGACUAGCUCCGGGCUCCGGCCUCCUCCCAAGUCAAUUUUUUCUCGGUCAGACUUGAGUGCCUCUUGGCGUUGCGCUUCAGGAAAUGCAGACGUCAACGGUGACGGCCGGAGGCUGAUCCGGAGCGCGCGUCACGCUCACGCCUUGCAGGUUGCAUCGAGGCAUCGAGCGAUCCUUCGCCUGCCUCGCAUAUGGUUGCCAUAGCGGCGGCACGGCAAUGCGAGAUUAUAUAUUGCGAGGCUGCGAGCCAGGAAGCCCCCGUCAGUGCGGCGAGCGGUGUGGCCGUGUGGGGGACUAUUGCCAUCCUUGCCGUUAGCAAGCAGAGUGACGAUUUGUUAGUGAGGCGCAAGCACGAGGUCAACCACUAGUGUAAGCUCAAUUUUCCAUUUCUUGCUACUUUUAGCAAAUCUGUUUUCCCAAGUUGCUCUGCCUCACUUCCAAAUGUAGUAAACCGUCACAGUACCAAAAUUUGGCUUCGGACCUUCGGAGUCCAAGGAAAAGAAAAAGGCGAAAACUGAACUACAGCGACCUCGGCUCUAUGCUCUAAUAGCUCCAGAGCGGCACAUCGGCCACGGCCUCGUCGCAGAACGCCGCGACUGUGCACGGUGGUUCCAUGAGCAUCGCCUGCGCCAAGCUCGCGUAGUACAAGUCUGAGCUCAUGUCACCGAACGCGUCCAGCUCGAACGGCGAGUCGUCGGUGGCCGGCGAGGUCUCCUCGCUGUCGGUGCAGCUGCAUUCGUCAUUCGCGACGGAGGACGGCGUCGACGACGUGGCCGAGCGCGCGUCCUCCUCCUCAGGGAGCACCUUGCGGCGCUGGAAGUCCUCCACGGCCUCGGCGACAGCGUGGCGGAUCUCGGCGAGGCUGGCGUACGAGGCCGGGACCGCGAGCAGCCACGCCGAGUCCGCGAAGUUGAGGCAGGCGCCCGCGCCGGCGAUGGCGAGCAUGGCGGCAUCGUGCGCGCGCGCCGCGGCCUCGGCGGUGUCGAAUGUGCCGAGCCAGAGCCUGCAGCCGCGGCGACCGGGCACGCGCACCUCGCACACCCACCGCCCGGCGUUGCCUCGGCGCCGGACGCCGCGGAACACGGGGUGCCGCGUCUCCCGGAACUUGGUCCGCCCCGCCGGCCGCUUCGGCGGCGACGUCCACACCGUCUGGUGGUGCUCCGAGGAGGUCGAGGCCGAAGCCCAGCUGCACGCGGAGCCUGACGACUCGGCGCUCAUCUCCUUCUUGAUCUGACACAUCUUGUUCUGAAUCGGCUGCCGAACGAUUGCUUAGCUCUGGAGUAGUGAGUGGAGUGCCUUCGCUGCUGCUUGAAUUGUGUUGGAGUGGUUUUGCGAUGGGGAAUGGCGGAUUUGCGGGCACAUAUUUAUAGGUGGUGGGCGGCGAUGCAGGGGAUAAAACGCGGGAAGGGAACCCAGUGGGCGAGCGCACAGCUGGAGAUGGAGAAGGAAAGAUCACAAAGGGGGGACGCAUCUGGGUAAGGCCGAGGACGCAACUUGCAAGCAGCAUGUAACAUCGGGGACUUCACUUUGAGAGUGACCUGAUAUUUUCGCAGAUAGGAACUCCAGCAAUACCCUCGAAUCAAAGCACCUAAAGAUGUUCUCUAUAUUUUUAAUAUUUCUAAGGUUACAAAAAUAUUUCCCACUUCAGCAAUAGCUCCAUAGAUGGAGGGCUCUCUAUUAACCUCAGGAAUAGAGAAUGGAGGGGAAAUUUGAAGGCCUCUCUAAAAUAAGGAGUCAAGUAGAGGAUCUGUUGAAGUGUGUUUCUUUGACUUAGCUCUCUAAACUAAGGGGGCGUUUGGAUGUCAGGGGCUAAACUUUAGCCCUGUCACAUCACACGUUCAGAUGCUAAUUAGGAGGACUAAAUAUGAGCUAAUUAAAAAACCAAUAGCAGAACCCAUAGGCUAAAUCGCGAGACGAAUCUAUUAAGCCUAAUUAAUCCAUCAUUAGCGAAUGGUUACUGUAGCACCACAUUGUCAAAUCAUGGACUAAUUAGGCUUAAUAGAUUCGUCUCGCGAUUUAGCCUAGGGGUUGUGCAAUUAGUUUUGUAAUUAGACUAUGUUUAAUACUCCUAAUUAGUGUCCAAACAUCCGAUGUGACAGGGGCUAAAAUUUAGCCCCUCCCUGCCAAACACCCCCUUAGAGUAGGGGGCUGUUUAGAGAGUCCGCUAGAUUAUUUUCUAUUUAUUUAUUGGGGUAGUAUGACUACAACACUGCUUUUGCUUCCGUUACCGGUUUCCGUCUCCCGUCAUGGAGCCACUUCUGGACUUGUCAAAUGCCACUCCUCUUCUCCUUUUUAUGUUCGAAUAAAGACUGUCACGCUUGUUCGCCGAUUAAGGAAGAGAAAAUUGCUGCAGUUUUCAGCCUCGAUAGUCGGUGGAGAGUACAUCAAGAAAAGUUGAUAUUUGUCCUCAAUCAAUCAUGAUUCAGUAUCCCCUGAAGAGAAAUCUUUACUGUGUUUCUCAACAAGGAAUUGGAAUUAUUCGGAUUCCGUUUCUAGGUAUACAGUGCCCAUUAGGAAUUCAAAAGGUCAAACUUUUUAAAUUUAAACUAAAAAUUAGUCAAAUUGUAAGUAUAUAAAAGUUGUAUCACUAAAUUCACAUUUCACAUGCCUCUCAAUUCAAAUUGACUUUAUUACAAUCGGUAAUGCAGAGUAUAUUGUAAGAGUGAUCGAUGAUCAAAGCAUCCUUUUAAAAAUUUCCGUAAAUUAUAAUAUGCCUUAUUACAAAUAAAUGGAGGGUAUUGCGUAUGUAGUAUGGUGGAUGGUCGUUCUAGUGAUUCACGAUGUUUACAUUGCUAGCUGUAGGGUAAAUUAUUUGCGAAACGUAGCCAGCCAUACUAGUUCUGGUGGAUCGUAAAAUCCUCGCUUAGAGCAUCUCUAGCAGUCUUCCAAUAAAUAUUUUCUAAUAAAGAGAUAUCCCAAUAUCACUUUUGCCGUUAUUAGGAGAGUUCCCAAUAAUCUCAUCCCAAUUCCUCCUUUAUUUAGAGAGAGUGGGGAUGAAUUAUCCUAAUAAUUAUUAGGAAAAGGGAAGGUUAAAAGAGAACUAUUUUUUAUCAACUCUCUUGAAUUGGAAAAUAAAUACUGGUGGAGGUGCUCUGCCUCUCCGAGAGAAAAGUCUUUCUUCUUGACGCCAACUCCAAACCCACCGGAGGCCUCGCGAGUUGCGACCCACCAAGCCGAUGGGCGAUGGCGACGUGAGCCGCGAUACCGGAACCACCCACACGUCCGCCAUCACCCCGGUAUCACAAAAAUCCGGCGGGAGCAGCAGCCGGGAUUCCGGGAAGCUCCCGCACCUGAUCCGCGUGCGGUGAGUGCGUCGCCGCCGUCCCGAUCCCUCCCUCUUGCCAGACCAGUUGCCACUUCUGCCCAAGCGAAAACGGCCACUUGCGGCUUGACCGAGUUCCCGGGCCAGGGGACAAGACGAGACGCCUCUUUCUGUGCUUCCGGCUCGCUCGUUCAACAGCGAGUACCCCUUGCCCAACUUGUGGGAGGCGCCUCCCCGUCGCAACCACCCAUGCCGUCGUCGAUCGCGUCACGGGCCAAAAAGAAAGUCGCAGGCUUAAUGCCUUAAUCAAAGCGAAAAGGCGCCAUGCGCGCCCGGUGACGCGACGCGACGGCCAGCCGAGACCAGCUGCGCCCUCUGUUGCUUGCUCGGGUCGGUUCCGCUCGUGGUUAAAGGGGGGAGAGAAUUAUUUUAGUCUCCUUUUCAAAAAAAAUUAUUUUAGUCCAGUUGCCGCUUGGGGCGGCCGGGGGGCGCCUAUGCGCGGCCGCGACCCGCGAGGGCGCAGCGACGGCGACGUCGCGGGAGCUGCGGACGCAGCAGCGGCGACGCGCGCGGGUCUGAGCUUAUCCACCCGCGCCGCGCACACGCGCUUCUCGCAUCGGCCUGUGGAUAAUAACGGUGGAAUUCCGGGUCAGUUCCAGCUGCUGCUGAUGAUGAUGCUGACGGUCUUCGACGACUGGAAGAAUACUUGGCCCGUGGUUUCUUAAUCAGUUAAUCUGCGGGUGCAGAACUGCAUAUCCCAGCUGCUGCAAGGUGCCAAGGGUGUGUUACCAUCGCACUGCCUCGUAUUUCUUUUCUGGAAAACAGCAGGAGCACUGCUAAUUCAUUUAAUAAGAAGAGAAAUCCAGGUUACAAUGAGUGAUUGAUAUUUUCUCAGAUCUUUUUUGAGUGAUGAUCAGAGGUUGCUGAUAGAGACCAGACCACUGCAGAAGAAACGUGCGGUGCUGAAACUGAACACUGUCCGGAACGCGACAAAAAAGAAUAUCAACAGACGCAUAAGCUGUGACUAGGGAUGUUACAGCUGCGCCGAUCGACUCUCUGAUUGUUAUGCUGUGAAUUUUGGCAAACCUUCAAGUCACAGUCACUCUCAUACUGGACAUCGACGGCGCAUACAAAUGAAUGAACAUGCGACUUCAGGAAACCUUUCUAUCGGAGAACAGAACACAGCGGACAUUCAUUUUUGCGUGCUGAAAUUUCUUUUUUUUUUUCAGAACAAAAAACCCCGCAUAUGCAGGUAUCACUGUCAACUGUUGACGUGGCAAUUUGCAUAUCAAACUGUAUGUAGGUACUAGAGGUAGCAUCAGUUCUGAGUGCUGACAUGCGAAUGUUCUGACUGACUGUCAACGAAGCAUGGGCGAGGCCGCCCCUGUUUCCCAUUGUAUGGUUGUAUAUGCAGGCGGAUUUCUCAGGUGACCUUAGCCUGUGGCAUACAAAAAUGCACUAUCUUGUGGAUUUUGCGUUAACAAAGCGUGGAAAUUCAAUUAUUCAACAAGUGCAUAGCGUGGUAUGUGAGGCGUUGACAAAUUGAGGGUCAACCACUAAUUUAAUUUGAAUAUUUUUUUGCUAGUCUUAGAAAAUCGAGUGGGCAUGCUCAAUUUGGCUCUGUUUUCUCAACAUGCUCCGUCCCAUUGCCAAAAGAAGUAACCUUUACAGCAAAAGAAAUGGCGCAGAGGCCAAGUGGAAGAAAAAGGACAUCGGUUCUAGUAGCUCCAGAGUGGCGCAUCGACGAUGUUGGCGUCGCCGAACUCCAUGACCGCGGGCGGCGGCUCCAUGAGCAUUCCCUGCGCCAAGCUCGCGUAGUACAAGUCCCAGCUCAUGUCGUUGAACACGUCCAGUUCGAACGCCGAGACCCCGGCGGCCGGAGAGGAGUCUGAGGACUCCUCGCCGUCCGUGGCGCUGCCGUCGUCGCUGGCAGGGGACGAUGGCGUCGAGGUCGACGCCGAGAGCGCGUCGUCCUCUGGGGCGGCCUCGCGGCGCAGGAAGUCCUCCACGGCCUCGGCGACCGCGUGGCGCACCUCGGCGAGGCUGGCGUAGGAGGCCGGCACGGCGAGCAGCCACGCCGAGUCGGCGAAGUUGAGGCACGCGCCCGCGCCGGCGAUGGCGAGCAUGGCGGCGUCGUGCGCGCGCGCGGCCCCCUCCGCGGGUGUCGAAGGUGCCGAGCCAGAGCCUGCAGCCGCGCCGGCCGGGCACGCGCACCUCGCACACCCAGCGCCCGGCGUUGCCACGGCGCCGGACGCCGCGGAACACGGGGUGCCGCGUCUCCCG
RNAcentral lists this long non-coding RNA (7964 nucleotides) under Setaria italica (foxtail millet). RNAcentral describes it as "long non-coding RNA (SITA_LNC001496)". The record is from RNAcentral. Lineage: Eukaryota; Viridiplantae; Streptophyta; Magnoliopsida; Poales; Poaceae.